Unclassified non-coding RNA from Otolemur garnettii (small-eared galago), 102 nucleotides. It matches the Rfam family "Y RNA". Rfam says of the family: Y RNAs are components of the Ro ribonucleoprotein particle (Ro RNP), in association with Ro60 and La proteins. The Y RNAs and Ro60 and La proteins are well conserved, but the function of the Ro RNP is not known. In humans the RNA component can be one of four small RNAs -- hY1, hY3, hY4 and hY5. The record is from Ensembl. Lineage: Eukaryota; Metazoa; Chordata; Mammalia; Primates; Galagidae.
GGCUGGUCCAAGUGCAGUGGUGUUUACAACUAAUUGAUCACAACCAGUUACAGAUUCCUUUGUUCCUUCUCCACUCACACUGCUUCACUUGACUAGCCUUAA